CCUACGGGUGACAGCAGUGAGGAAUAUUGGUCAAUGGGCGUAAGUCUGAACCAGCCAAGUCGCGUGAGGGAUGAAGGUUCUAUGGAUUGUAAACCUCUUUUAUAUGGGAAUAAAAUGUGGGACGUGUCCUGUUUUGUAUGUACCUUAUGAAUAAGGAUCGGCUAACUCCGUGCCAGCAGCCGCGGUAAUACGGAGGAUCCGAGCGUUAUCCGGAUUUAUUGGGUUUAAAGGGUGCGUAGGGGGCCUUUUAAGUCAGUGGUGAAAGUCUGUGGCUCAACCGUAGAAUUGCAGUUGAAACUGGGAGGCUUGAGUAUGUUAGAGGCAGGCGGAAUGCGUGGUGUAGCGGUGAAAUGCUUAGAUAUCACGCAGAACCCCGAUUGCGAAGGCAGCCCGCCAGGCCGUGACUGACGCUGAUGCACGAAAGCGUGGGGAUCAAACAGGAUUAGAUACCCGAGUAGUC
This 460-nucleotide ribosomal RNA is filed under the name uncultured bacterium. RNAcentral describes it as "partial 16S ribosomal RNA". It matches the Rfam family "Bacterial small subunit ribosomal RNA", at positions 338 to 795 of the family's 1533-position model. The record is from RNAcentral.